AAUGGGACGUGAGGGCACGGUCAAAAGUUCAACGCGACGUGGGCGUACCACACUAAGGGGCGGAUACGGUCAAAGGUCAAAGCAAGUGGGCGGUCCCUCGCAACGUGGGUGGUCCGGAAGUAAUUCACCCCUCCCCCUCCUCUGCAAAGGAGACGGUGAAAAAGAGUCCCAGCCGUGGUUUCCAGGAAACAGUCCAUGUUAAAAAGGACAGUGAACUGGAAGUGAUUCUGAGGAGGAGACGCAAACAGGCCUGCGAUCCCAAAACUGAAGUAGAUGAUGGCCAGCUGAGUAAAGUCUCCUCAUCCAACAGUCUGAACGGUCGGCACAGCUCUGACUCCGGUAAAGACUCAGACGUGCCAGGCAGCAGCUCUCUGUCAGGCAGCGAGCGCGGAUCUAGAACCAGCUCAGACUCAGGCCGAGAGCCAGCCGCGGCACGACAGAUCUCAGAUUCUGGCACAGAGCCUAAAGCAACCAAUCAGCCAGACAUAGUCUGCGGCUCUCUCACUAAAAAAGAGACCACCGAGCCCCCCAAACCCGUCUCCAAUGGAUGCUGUUCAGGGGAAGUGAAGGAUGGCGAUCCAGAGAAGUGGGCGGGGUCUAACGGGAUUGACCACACAGCUGCAAGUGGCGAGCUGCAUGCCACCAUCUGCUCUUCUGCACAAAGCCCCGACGCAGCACACGGUAGCACAGACGCCGACUGCUAACAGCAAGUUGCACCGCGAGGACAGCUCAAUAAUUUGCACAAAAACCAUGAUUUCUACAUUUAUUUAUUUAUUUAU
Triplophysa rosa is the source of this 779-nucleotide long non-coding RNA. RefSeq lists it as uncharacterized. Lineage: Eukaryota; Metazoa; Chordata; Actinopteri; Cypriniformes; Nemacheilidae. The transcript is spliced from 4 exons. The record is from RefSeq and is a predicted model, not a curated record.